AGAGUUUGAUCAUGGCUCAGGAUGAACGCUAGCUACAGGCUUAACACAUGCAAGUCGAGGGGAAACGAUAUUGAAAGCUUGCUUUCUUUAGGCGUCGACCGGCGAAUGGGUGAGUAACGCGUAUCCAACCUGCCCCUGAGUAAGGGAUAGCCCAUCGAAAGAUGGAUUAAUACCUUAUGGUUUCCUUUGAAGGCAUCUGAUUAGGAAUAAAGAUUUAUCGCUGAGGGAUGGGGAUGCGUCUGAUUAGCUUGUUGGCGGGGUAACGGCCCACCAAGGCGACUAUCAGUAGGGGUUCUGAGAGGAAGGUCCCCCACAUUGGUACUGAGACACGGACCAAACUCCUACGGGAGGCAGCAGUGAGGAAUAUUGGUCAAUGGGCGCAAGCCUGAACCAGCCAAGUAGCGUGCAGGAUGACUGCCCUAUGGGUUGUAAACUGCUUUUAUACGGGGAUAAAGUCAGAGUCGUGACUCUGUUUGCAGGUACCGUAUGAAUAAGGACCGGCUAAUUCCGUGCCAGCAGCCGCGGUAAUACGGAAGGUCCAGGCGUUAUCCGGAUUUAUUGGGUUUAAAGGGAGCGUAGGCCGGAGAUUAAGUGUGUUGUGAAAUUUAGGCGCUCAACGUCUGCACUGCAGCGCAUACUGGUUUUCCUUGAGUACACGCAACGUUGGCGGAAUUCGUCGUGUAGCGNUGAAAUGCUUAGAUAUGACGAAGAACUCCGNAUUGCGAAGGGCAGCUGACGGGGAGUGCAACUGACGCUGANNNNNNAANNNNCGGGUAUCGAACAGGGAUUAGAUACCCUNGNUAGUCCGCCACGGUAAACGAUGGAUGGCCCGCUAUUCGCUCGAAUGAGUGAGUGGCAAGCGAAAGCAUUAAGCAUCCCACCUGGGGAGUACGCCGGCAACGGUGAAACUCAAAGGAAUUGACGGGGGCCCGCACAAGCGGAGGAACAUGUGGUUUAAUUCGAUGAUACGCGAGGAACCUUACCCGGGCUUGAAUUGCAGAUGAACGAUCCAGAGAUGGUGAGGCCCUUCGGGGCAUCUGUGAAGGUGCUGCAUGGUUGUCGUCAGCUCGUGCCGUGAGGUGUCGGCUUAAGUGCCAUAACGAGCGCAACCCCUGUUCUUAGUUGCCAUCAGGUAAUGCUGGGCACUCUGGGAAUACUGCCACCGUAAGGUGUGAGGAAGGUGGGGAUGACGUCAAAUCAGCACGGCCCUUACGUCCGGGGCUACACACGUGUUACAAUGGCCGGUACAGAGAGUUGGUCGUGCGCAAGUACGGUCUAAUCCAUAAAACCGGUCUCAGUUCGGACUGGGGUCUGCAACCCGACCCCACGAAGCUGGAUUCGCUAGUAAUCUCGCAUCAGCCAUGGCGCGGUGAAUACGUUCCCGGGCCUUGUACACACCGCCCGUCAAGCCAUGAAAGCCGAGGGUGCCUGAAGUCCGUGACCGGAAGGAUCGGCCUAGGGCAAAAUCGGUAAUUGGGGCUAAGUCGUAACAAGGUAGCCGUA
RNAcentral lists this ribosomal RNA (1503 nucleotides) under uncultured rumen bacterium. RNAcentral's name for it is "bacterial SSU rRNA". It matches the Rfam family "Bacterial small subunit ribosomal RNA". The record is from RNAcentral.